Molecule: non-coding RNA, 138 nt
Filed under: chicken gut metagenome
Description: glmS glucosamine-6-phosphate activated ribozyme
Rfam family: glmS glucosamine-6-phosphate activated ribozyme aptamer
About the family: This entry contains a glucosamine-6-phosphate activated ribozyme that is found in the mRNA for GlmS.
Source: RNAcentral
UCUUAGCGCCAGAACUUAUAUUUUUAAGUUGACGAGGUUCAGAGUUAUCGAAUUGUCGGCGGAUGCUCUGCGGGUUUUCACAGUCGUUAAAACUUUAUUAAAACAUAAAAGUGAUUUUGUGCACAAAGUAAAGUUUAA